UGCCUAUUAUGGACAGUUGCUAUGUCAAGGGCGAUUCAGACUAAGAGGCUGAAACUAUCCUACUUUACCAGCUUAAUCCACUUACACUCUUUAGCCUGUGUGUAUGUCUGUCUGUGUGUGUGUGUGUUUGUGCUAACAUUGUCUAGGAAUAUGAUUGUGUAAAAUAUUGAGAAAGUUACUUAGUAUUUAUAUUUAUCCAUGUGUCAGUACUAUUUUGAGUUUGAAUGUUUAAUCUCUAUGUGUGAGUCAUUGUGUGCAUCAUCUUUUCGUCUCUUUUCUCUUUCAUUCUCUCUCUCUCUCUAUCUGUGUGUGUGUGUGUGUGAGUGUGAGUGUUUUAUUCUCUAUGGACCCUUUGCUGCCUAGCAGCCGUGUUGCCACCCUCUCAUGGGGAAUUACAGGUUCAGCCUCACCACACACACACACACACACACACACACUCACCCUCACGCACACACACACACAAAUACAACGCCAAACUCUUUGUUAAGCACAGACUAACCAUGUGCAUUAUACAGAACAAUACUGGGGAGCUCGCUGUGCCUGAAACCAGACUAGCAGCACUGCAACAAGAUUAACAGACUGACACACGCACACACACACACACACACACACACACACACAGUUCCUCAUCAGCGGCUCUAAGAAGCUAAAGAACAACAACAAGCCGGUUGAAAGAGAGACAGAAGGCAGAAGGGGAGACAAGAAAGAGCAGGGUUGGACACCCUGGGAAAUACACACACACACACACACACACAUUAAUGUGUGUGUGUCAUGGGAUUGAAACUCAUUAUUUGCUGAUCUCCUGUCUCCCUCACAACUCCAUAGACUCCUCAGCACAGGAUAGCACCAUCACAUCACAACACUGCUCUGUGACCACAGGAUAGCACCAUCCCAUCAAACACUGUUCUAUGAUGUUUGACCACUGUGUAAUGCAAACCACAUCCAUCUGCUUUGUGUCAACUCCCAGCUAAUACGUAGCUCAUAUUUCAGCAGCAGCCAAGUGGAAGUUGAAAUAACUUGAGUGAAUUCAAGGGUUUCUCUUUGCAGUCAAUAUUUACUGUUCCAGGGCUUCUGACUGACUGUAUGCAGUCUUUAUGAAAGCAUGGUGGAUGAUUUGCUUAUGAGUGUGCUCUAAUGCAUAAUAGAUACGGCCUCUAAUUAGGAUGUGUUACCAGUGGUUUACAGAAAGACCCAAAGGGCUAAUGAAAUGUCAUCUGAAUUUUUACUUUUACUUUAGCUAAAAUACUGGCCCCAAUGUUUGUGAAAGUAAUCACAUAUUAAGUCUUGAAAAGGAACAUUGAUUGAUGUGGCCCUUGCUCCUGUCACUGUUAAUCUUGGAUCUUAAAGGAAAUGGAUCUUAAAGGGAAUGGAUCUUAAAGAAAAUGGAUCCUAAAGGGAAUGGAUCUUAAAGGGAAUGGAUCUUAAAAGAAAUGGAUCUUAAAGGGAAUGGAUCUUAAAGGGAAUGGAUCUUAAAAUAAAUGGAUCUUAAAGGGAAUGGAUCUUAGAAAAUGGAUCCUAAAGGGAAUGGAUCUUAAAGGGAAUGGAUCUUAAAGGAAUGGAUCUCUGGAAAACUCUAAGAUCCACUGUGCCAAUGCCUGAGAUCAUUUCCCAUAUGUGACCUUUGUCACUGUAGCGGCUGAAGGUUGGUGCAGAGUUGGUCAAUCCAACCUUGAUGCUCCAUGAUGGGGAGGUGUGUGUGUUCCUGUCUGUCUGUUUGGUUCUUGAUGCUCCAUGAUGGGGAGGUGUGUGUGUUCCUGUCUGUCUGUUUGGUUCUUGAUGCUCCAUGAUGGGGAGGUGUGUGUGUUCCUGUCUGUCUGUUUGGUUCUUCUUGUUCUGUUUUUUAAUGGCAGACAAGGGACUAGAUAUCUUUUUCUCCACCUCCCUCCCUCUCUCUCUCUCUCUCUCUCUCUCUCUGUCCAUUCCUUCCUCUGUCCAUCUCUCUCUCUCUGUCUGUUCCUUUGUCUCCUUGAACUGUACUCUCUAAGAGUGUCACAAAUAGUCUGCCCAUAGGUUUUCAUACCCUUACACACGCUUCCUAACAUGCUCAUAAAAUGCCCUUAUUAAACUUAGCUGAAAUUAAUACACACACACACACACACACACAAACACACAUAUAUUUGAAAAUGAUUACCCACACACAUGGCAGUAGUAAUUAACACCUCCCCUCAUUCCCAGUAGUGCUUUCCCAUUAAGAACGGAAUCGAACCUGUGCUGAAAUCUUUAAUCUUGCUUCUCCAUUCUCAUUAGAAUGGCAUUGGCUCCUAUUGAAUGGCCUGCCAUGACAAACAGCCUUCAUCCACCCAGCAGGGUCCUGGCAGCCCCACUCUAGUUCUCUCUCUCUCUCUCUCUCUCUCUCUCUUUCUCUCUCUUUUUCUCUCUCUCUUUCUCUCUCUCUCUCCCUCUCUCUCUCUUUCUCCUCUCUCUCUUCUCUCUCUCUCUCUUAGUCUCUCUCUCUCUCUUUCUCUCUCUCUUUCUCCUCUCUCUCUCUCUUCUCUCUCUCUCUCUCUCACUCUCUCUCUCUCUCUCUCUCUCUCUCUCUUUCGGCAGACAGCCAUAGGUGAGGAUGCGGGCAUGGCGGACCCAUAACACAUAGAGACAUUUGUAAUCUUUGCAAAUGAGAAAGGAGCUUGCAACA
Long non-coding RNA from Clupea harengus (Atlantic herring), 2635 nucleotides. The record is from Ensembl. Lineage: Eukaryota; Metazoa; Chordata; Actinopteri; Clupeiformes; Clupeidae.